Anarrhichthys ocellatus (wolf-eel) is the source of this 1208-nucleotide long non-coding RNA. RefSeq lists it as uncharacterized. Lineage: Eukaryota; Metazoa; Chordata; Actinopteri; Perciformes; Anarhichadidae. The record is from RefSeq and is a predicted model, not a curated record. The transcript is spliced from 5 exons.
AGCAAUUCCGCGCCGGUCCACGCCAGUUCAAGUGUUGCUGCAGCAUGCCGUCUACCUCGAGCACAAAUUAACAAGGAUUUGGAUGCAAGUUUUUCCACCCCAGUCAACAUGUCCUCUGAAAGCAUUACAGACAUUACCAGGCGUGAUUCUAACCACUCCGUGCCUGUCUACAGACUGCACCUGAGCUUUCAAGACAACUGAGUUCUACAGAAUUACUCGAGUGGACCUGAAGAGGAUCUUCCUGUCAUCAUUGGAUGCACACUAAUCGCAGCUUAUUAAGCUGUACAGAUCACGCCGUGGAACACUUGGAAAGGACAUGAGGAUCCUUCUAGACAACUUUGAUGAACAGACAACUGAUGUGCUUGCCCACAGAAAGUCUACAGCUCUAUGGGGUCUACCGUUCUUUGAUGGAGAAGCCGGACGGCUUUCUGAAGAAAUAUCUGACCCGGAGGAAUUUUGUGUCAAGGGAGUUGAACUUGGAAUACUCAGUUGUUGAAGAUGGCGUUGGGACGGUCUGCUCAAGUCCAACAGCAAUAAGCAUCGCCCUGGUUAUUGAGGAACGGAUUAUCCUGGAGGAUGUAUGCGACUUCCCAACCGCAUUUGCCCUUUUGUUUGGGCUCAUCUAGGCUCUUAACCUGGACUAUCCGAAGGACUUACGGUACACAUUUUUGAAGUAAUUCAAAAGGUGUUCAUGAACCUUGGUACCCAGUGCUCUACCCGGGUUCAGGCCUUAAAGAACUGUUUGCUGAAGUAGCCUGCCAUAUCUAAACCACACCUAUGGUCUUGGCUGGAUUUUCAUGAGGGACUGAAAUGUCACCAACUUGACCAAAUGCCGAUGGUAUGAGUUGACCAAAUUGGUCAACACCCUUAAGUAUUAGAUGUUUAACAAGUUUAUUAUUUGCCUUACUACUUUGUAUAUUACAGCUGAACUAUCCACUGAUGGUCCUGCACUUUAGGUGUAUUAUAAUUUAAUAUUAAUUUUAGUUUAUUGUUGUUACUGCCACAUAGCGCCAUGCAGGCAUAUAUUUGCAUUUAUUUUUGUUUUGACCGAGUAUUAGGAGAGAACUUUAGUCGGUGUCUUUGGGUUUAAAAUGGCGUGAAGUAGAGAUUAUAAGGAUGUUGACCCCCUGCUGUCUACUAUUCAAGUGUUGAAAUUGAAAGACAAUAUUGUUUUGCAAGCAAAUAACUUAUUGUUAUUAAACAUUUUG